UCAUGUUGAAACACCACUUCCCAUAUGAUCACCAAAGUUAAGUAACAUCAAGCCUGGUCAGUACCUAGAUGGGUGACCACUUGAGAAUACCAGGUGCUGUAAG
Molecule: ribosomal RNA, 103 nt
Filed under: Acanthosepion pharaonis
Lineage: Eukaryota; Metazoa; Mollusca; Cephalopoda; Sepiida; Sepiidae
Source: RNAcentral